Long non-coding RNA from Homo sapiens (human), 703 nucleotides. NCBI's taxonomy places the organism in Eukaryota, Metazoa, Chordata, Mammalia, Primates, Hominidae. The record is from Ensembl.
GAGAGAGACUCUCAGCCACUCCCCCAGGGCCGGCCACCUCCCAGCCAUUGCCUGGUGUGCGGCCGCAGGGGAUGUCCAAGAAACCCCAAAAGCCUAAGCACAGCAGCCCUGGGAAGAAACCAGCAGGAAGGAAGACCAGGGAGUCCCAGGCUGUGGCGAGAGAAGAUAAUGACCCAAAUAGAGAUGAGGUCCCAAGGGCCCAACUUCCCACACACCGGCCAGGACUGCCUCGCCUAUCCACGCAUCGUGGAGAAUUCAGCAGUAGCGACUCCAACAUCAGAGCUCCCCAAGUUCUGGGGACUUCAGAGCCCUCUGCCUACAGCCUGGGAGGCCUCGUGCCCAGACGCCAUGCACCCUCUGGUGACUGGCAGCCACCUGUCCAUCCCCCAAGACCGGAAAGGCAGCAAUAGCCCCCGGGAGCCCAGGGCUGUCCUCGGUGCAUCCGGCUGCAGAGGGAAAUUGAGGACCUUAGAGACCAACUAGCGGCCAUGCAGUUCCUCACUGACAAGUUCCAGGACCUUUGAAGUUGGAGCCAGCAUCUUCCUACAAGAUGAACAGCUGCCACCUUUGGAGCUCCGGAGCUGCAGCCAAGCGGGUUCCCUCCAUAUCCUGUUCAGCCAGGGCUUCCUCUCUUCCUCUGCAUUUGCACACUUCCCAACGCAGUUCAAAGCAAUUUGAAAUAAAGUCGUUCUCAUAUUCUGUG